Molecule: long non-coding RNA, 318 nt
Filed under: Lonchura striata (white-rumped munia)
Lineage: Eukaryota; Metazoa; Chordata; Aves; Passeriformes; Estrildidae
Description: domestica (Bengalese finch) lncRNA (ENSLSDG00000003615.1)
Source: RNAcentral
AAAUUGUUAUUACUUCAGGCCCCAAAAGUGUAAUUUAAGAUCAAAGCUUGAACUGGUAUCACAAAUGCAAUUCAAAUAAAAGGAAAACCUGAAUGAUUUUCAGAUAAAUAAAAUCAGACUAAAUAAAUGUAAAUCUACAACAAUUUAGUUCACAUAAUUUAGUGUAUUUAAUUUAAUUUUGUAUUAUUUGUUAGGUCUACAAACAGAAAGAGCUCAAGGUGUUAAUCAGCUGAACAGAUACUCAGCUUUUUUCAACACAAUAGCAAGGAGUAGAUUUCUCUCCAUCAAACCAAUAUAAGUGGGAUAUAAGGCUACCAA